This 510-nucleotide ribosomal RNA is filed under the name uncultured bacterium. RNAcentral's name for it is "partial 16S ribosomal RNA". It matches the Rfam family "Bacterial small subunit ribosomal RNA", at positions 28 to 507 of the family's 1533-position model. The record is from RNAcentral.
GACGAACGCUGGCGGCGUGCUUAACACAUGCAAGUCGAACGAAGAGCGAUGGAAGCUUGCUUCUAUCAAUCUUAGUGGCGAACGGGUGAGUAACGCGUAAUCAACCUGCCCUUCAGAGGGGGACAACAGUUGGAAACGACUGCUAAUACCGCAUACGAUCUAAUCUCGGCAUCGAGGAUAGAUGAAAGGUGGCCUCUACAUGUAAGCUAUCACUGAAGGAGGGGAUUGCGUCUGAUUAGCUAGUUGGAGGGGUAACGGCCCACCAAGGCGAUGAUCAGUAGCCGGUCUGAGAGGAUGAACGGCCACAUUGGGACUGAGACACGGCCCAGACUCCUACGGGAGGCAGCAGUGGGGAAUCUUCCGCAAUGGACGAAAGUCUGACGGAGCAACGCCGCGUGAGUGAUGACGGCCUUCGGGUUAUAAAGCUCUGUUAAUCGGGACGAAAGGCCUUCUUGCGAAUAGUGAGAAGGAUUGACGGUACCGGAAUAGAAAGCCACGGCUAACUACGUG